This is a long non-coding RNA of Epinephelus moara (kelp grouper), 701 nucleotides long. RefSeq lists it as uncharacterized. Lineage: Eukaryota; Metazoa; Chordata; Actinopteri; Perciformes; Serranidae. The transcript has 5 exons. The record is from RefSeq and is a predicted model, not a curated record.
UUUAACUUCUGGAGACAUCAUUUACCUAUGAACACUGCAUUGUUAAUAUAAGUCCAGGAUAUGAGAAUGCAAUACUGCCAUGGUCGCAUGUUGUCAAAAAGUGAGAAGCUGUUUGAAUAACCAGGAGUGAGUGCAGGAUGACCAUGUACCCAGAAUGGAGGGAAUCAGUGAUGAAGACUCAAUUAUGGAGCUUUACUGUGAGGAAGCAAGAGUGACUGUCAGCAGACUGAUGCGAGUGAUAAAGUGCCCUGCCCUCCUUCAAAGACAAUAGUCAGUCAUGUCAGCAGCCAGCUAGUGUCUCCUGCUGGUGAAGAGGAGAGCUACAUUGAGAUCAAUUGCAGAGAGGAAGAAAACAUGCAGGACACAAUGGACACAAACAGCUCAACGCCAGGAGCACAAAACCUGAUCCAUGUUGAUGAAGAACUGAAGACUGAAAGAAUAAGCCAGCCUGUCGUAACAUCUGCACACACAAAGACACAACUGGAGAUGUUACUGGAGGAUCUGGGGCUGGAGCAGCACUUCACAGAGAAGCUAUCCCUGAACACAAUACUUGAGAUUGAUGAGAGGAGCAUUGCUGAUGAACCUGCCAAGUGCCAUUCAGAUCUUCCAUGGUAUUUUCUGAAGAAACUGAUGAUGGUUAAUGUGACAGCUAGGAAUGUGAAAUGUACAGCUGCAUGUGAGUCAAACUGUGAUGAGCCAUC